This 440-nucleotide ribosomal RNA is filed under the name uncultured bacterium. Its description in RNAcentral is "partial 16S ribosomal RNA". It matches the Rfam family "Bacterial small subunit ribosomal RNA", at positions 339 to 795 of the family's 1533-position model. The record is from RNAcentral.
CUACGGGUGGCAGCAGUGAGGAAUAUUGCACAAUGGGGGGAACCCUGAUGCAGCAACGCCGCGUGGAGGAUGGCGCAUUUCGGUGUGUAAACUCCUUUUAUAUGUCAAGAAAAUGACGGUAGCAUAUGAAUAAGCACUGGCUAACUCCGUGCCAGCAGCCGCGGUAAUACGGAGGGUGCAAGCGUUACUCGGAAUCACUGGGCGUAAAGGACGCGUAGGCGGGUUGGAAAGUCAGGUGUGAAAUCCUACAGCUUAACUGUAGAACUGCACUUGAAACUUCUAAUCUAGAGUAUGGGAGGGGGAGAUGGAAUUAGUGGUGUAGGGGUAAAAUCCGUAGAUAUCACUAGGAAUACCUAAAGCGAAGGCGAUCUCCUGGAACAUUACUGACGCUAAGGCGUGAAAGCGUGGGGAGCAAACAGGAUUAGAUACCCCUGGUAGUC